GGGUGCGAUCACACUUGCACUAAUGCAUCGGAUCCCAUCAGAACUUCGCAGUUAAACGUGCUUGGGCGAGAGUUGUACUAAGAUGGGUGACCCCCUGGGAAGUCCUCGUGUUGCAUCCU
Non-coding RNA from Elaeis guineensis (African oil palm), 119 nucleotides. The record is from RefSeq and is a predicted model, not a curated record. NCBI's taxonomy places the organism in Eukaryota, Viridiplantae, Streptophyta, Magnoliopsida, Arecales, Arecaceae.